GACGGGGGGGGCAAGUGUUCUUCGGAAUGACUGGGCGUAAAGCGCACGUAGGCGGCUUUGUAAGUUAGAGGUGAAAGCCCAGGGCUUAACCCUGGAAUUGCCUUUAAGACUGCAUCGCUAGAAUCGUGGAGAGGUGAGUGGAAUUCCGAGUGUAGAGGUGAAAUUCGUAGAUAUUCGGAAGAACACCAGUGGCGAAGGCGACUCACUGGACACGUAUUGACGCUGAGGUGCGAAAGCGUGGGGAGCAAACAGG
This 253-nucleotide ribosomal RNA is filed under the name uncultured bacterium. RNAcentral describes it as "partial 16S ribosomal RNA". It matches the Rfam family "Bacterial small subunit ribosomal RNA", at positions 524 to 776 of the family's 1533-position model. The record is from RNAcentral.